CGUGGGUAACCUGCCCAAGAGAUCGGGAUAACACCUGGAAACAGAUGCUAAUACCGGAUAACAACAGAUGAUGCCUAUCAACUGUUUAAAAGAUGGUUCUGCUAUCACUCUUGGAUGGACCUGCGGUGCAUUAGCUAGUUGGUAGGGUAACGGCCUACCAAGGCGAUGAUGCAUAGCCGAGUUGAGAGACUGAUCGGCCACGUUGGGACUGAGACACGGCCCAAACUCCUACGGGAGGCAGCAGAA
Molecule: ribosomal RNA, 246 nt
Filed under: uncultured Lactobacillus sp.
Lineage: Bacteria; Bacillati; Bacillota; Bacilli; Lactobacillales; Lactobacillaceae
Description: partial 16S ribosomal RNA
Rfam family: Bacterial small subunit ribosomal RNA
Source: RNAcentral